Molecule: ribosomal RNA, 460 nt
Filed under: uncultured bacterium
Lineage: Bacteria
Description: partial 16S ribosomal RNA
Rfam family: Bacterial small subunit ribosomal RNA
Source: RNAcentral
CCUACGGGAGGCAGCAGUGAGGAAUAUUGGUCAAUGGGCGCGAGCCUGAACCAGCCAAGUAGCGUGAAGGAUGACUGCCCUACGGGUUGUAAACCUCUUUUAUAAAGGAAUAAAGUGAGGCUCGUGAGCCCUUUUGUAUGUUCUUUAUGAAUAAGGAUCGGCCAACUCCGGGCCAGCAGCCUCCGUAAUACGGAGGAUACGAGCGUUUAUCGGAUUUUUUGGGUUUAAAAGGAGCGUUGAGGGGUUGUUAAGUCAGUUGUGAAAGUUUGCGGCUCAACCGUAGAAGUGCAAUUGAUACUGGCAGCCUUGAGUGCAGUUGAGGUAGGCGGAAUGCGUGGUGUAGCGGUGAAAUGCUUAGAUAUCACGAAGAACUCCGAUUGCGAAGGCAGCUUACUAAACUGCCACUGACAUUGAGGCUCGAAAGUGUGGGUAUCAAACAGGAUUAGAUACCCCGGUAGUC